UCAUUCUUUUCCUCCUCCUUGGCUGGAGGUACCCACAGCAGCACCUGGUGGCUCUCCCAGCUUCAUCAGGCCUCCCGCCUCCCUCGGAAUUGUCUCAGAUACUUCCUGCACGUUUGCACUUAUGUUGGCUUCUGCUUUCCUGUGGGUGAUGGUGUUGAAUGGGCUGCUGAGGAACAGCCAGAGCAUGGUAUUUCGUGAAGACCAAAACAUGGGAUUACUGGUGCAGUGUGGCUACUUUCAUCCUGGAGAGGAGAGAGGCUCUUGAAACUCAUAAAAUUACAAGAACUCAAGAAUGUGAGAAGACUCAGGAAGUCCCGCCCCAAUUUAUACUUAACACAAGCCAUAAACAGCCGCCAGAGGAGGAGCUUUUGGGAAUGCUCCUUCUUCUCUAGUCACUGAAAACCGAAGUCAUACUGAGACCUCUGGUAGGCUCCUGUCUCCUCUCUACCCACUGACCAGCAAAGGGAACAUCUGAGGAUGACCUUCUGCCCACAAGGAUGGAUAGCCUGGUUUGGUGUCCAGCUGACUAACCCCCAGGUGUCUCCAGAAGUCAUACCUUUUAAAACUUUCCAUGACUGCUUUUGCCUACAACUGUAAUGUGCCCUAAACCCUCCAUUUACUGUGUAGUGUAAAUACUGAGUGGUUAGAUUUUAACUACAAAGAUACUGUAUUUCAAGUAAUCACAGAGACACAAAAAGGACACUUGUCUGACUGGAUAGAGAAAUAUGUGGAAUUCAUGCCACCUAAUUUAUGGAGCAUUCAUUGUUCUAGGUUCCAGGUAUUUAGGCAUGAAUAAGAUAAAUAACAUACCUAGUCUCCUGGAGUUUAUCUUUUGAAAGGAUUAAACAAUUUAUAAUCUAUAAGCAUACUGUUUAAAACAAGGAGUCCAAGUGGGGAUAAUAAAGAGCAAAUGUAUUCAUUGUAGCCAGUAUUUUGAGGUUGGUUACCAGCACCCAUGGCUGCCCACUCACACUGCCUAUUAAGUACUACCAAACUAGUGAUUCAGUCUUAACAAUCACACCCACUAUCAAGCACACCUCGAAACCCGAGAGACUGUGAGCAUCCAGUGAAAAUCUGAAAGCAGAAACUAAUUGUACCUACACAUGGGACAUUCUAGGACAAAUAUGUGGUUAGAAAUGUUUUAUGUUUAUUUAUACUAAUAAAAAUUCUAUUCUCCUUAAA
Mesocricetus auratus (golden hamster) is the source of this 1182-nucleotide long non-coding RNA. RefSeq lists it as uncharacterized. NCBI's taxonomy places the organism in Eukaryota, Metazoa, Chordata, Mammalia, Rodentia, Cricetidae. The record is from RefSeq and is a predicted model, not a curated record. The transcript has 3 exons.